This 459-nucleotide ribosomal RNA is filed under the name uncultured bacterium. RNAcentral describes it as "partial 16S ribosomal RNA". It matches the Rfam family "Bacterial small subunit ribosomal RNA", at positions 338 to 795 of the family's 1533-position model. The record is from RNAcentral.
CCUACGGGUGGCAGCAGUGAGGAAUAUUGGUCAAUGGCCGAAAGCCUGAACCAGCCAAGUCGCGUGAGGGAAGACGGCCCUACGGGUUGUAAACCUCUUUUGUCGGGGAGCAAAGAGAGUCACGUGUCACUCAUUGAGAGUACCCGAGGAAAAAGCAUCGGCUAACUCCGUUCCAGCAGCCGCGGUAAUACGGAGGAUGCGAGGGUUUGCCGGAUUUAUUGGGUUUAAAGGGUUCGCAGGCGGGGGUGCAAGUCAGCGGUAAAAGCCCGGGGCUCAACCCCGGCGAGCCGUUGAAACUGUCGGACUAGAGACGGCGAGAAGUACGCGGAAUGCGUGGUGUAGCGGUGAAAUGCAUAGAUAUCGCGCAGAACUCCGAUUGCGAAGGCAGCGUACCGGCGCCGGACUGACGCUGAGGCACGAAAGCGUGGGUAUCGAACAGGAUUAGAUACCCCUGUAGUC